This 630-nucleotide ribosomal RNA is filed under the name Triticum aestivum (bread wheat). Its description in RNAcentral is "partial small subunit ribosomal RNA". The record is from RNAcentral. Lineage: Eukaryota; Viridiplantae; Streptophyta; Magnoliopsida; Poales; Poaceae.
AUGCUCUCAUCCACCGCUCUCCGGCCGCUGUCGCCGGCGACGGCGACGACGCCCGCGUACCCCGCCACCGCCACCUCGGCCACGCCCGGGCGGCGCUCGGUGGCGGUGCGCGUGCUGCGGGACUACGGCUCGAUCCCCAAGCGGGAGCCCUUCAGCUCCAGCCGCAGCAUCCUCGACGAGUUCUUCAAGCAGGAGAAGCCUCUCGUCCAGCGCACCAAGGACCACAUCACAGAUUAUUGCACGACCCUUGAAGGCGAUGAUUGCUGCAGCUGCUGGGAUGCCUAUUUUGAACUCAACAAACUCGAGCAAGAGCUACCGCAAGAAGAAAUCUCAAGGAUGGUGAAGGACUCGCGGUCAGACCCAAGGUACCUCAUAAGCAGCAUCCACCACCGGUCAGACCUACGGAAGAAGAUGGCCGAGAAAGCUCACAAUUCAGCGCCAUCAAACUCCCCGGGGCAAACAGCGAAGCCGAGGCCUUUCCCCGUCCCUGAUGGGCUGCCGAAAACGCAGGAAGAGAUCGACGAGGAUGAGGAGGCUCUGAUGCCGGAGUCUCCUUACACGAGGCUGCUGAGAAGGAUGGGGAGGUUCCCUGACUGGUAUACCCCUCGCCCAGACCAUGAGACUGACUGA